CACAUGUCUGAGGCCCACGCGCCACCCCUAGCGCCGCCACCGGCGCCUCUAUACAAGCAGCGAUCGUGGUCGCCCGACUCGCCCGACACCUACCGCGACGAGGCAUGGCAGCGCCGCAAGGGCAACAACACCCGCCGCUCCCGCCGCCGCAGCAAGAGCGUCACCGACGAGGAUCUGGAUGAGCUCAAGGCCUGCAUCGAGCUCGGUUUCGGCUUCGACUCGCCGGAUAUGGAUCAACGCUUGUCCGAUACUCUGCCGGCGUUGGGCCUUUACAAGGCCGUCAAUAAGCAGUACUUCGACACCGUCGCCAAGUCGUUGUCUCCGUCUUCAUCAACGAUGUCCGAAUGCGAUCCACCGUCUCCCCUGGGCAGCCCCCACACCAUAUUCGGUCCCGGUAAUUUCCUUUCUCGUUUCUCCUCUCUUAACCCGCUCCGGCGUUCAUCGCCGUCGGUAUACACGAUUAUUAUUCUGUUAUCAACUUG
RNAcentral lists this long non-coding RNA (482 nucleotides) under Vitis vinifera (wine grape). Its description in RNAcentral is "long non-coding RNA (VVIN_LNC002270)". Lineage: Eukaryota; Viridiplantae; Streptophyta; Magnoliopsida; Vitales; Vitaceae. The record is from RNAcentral.